CAUUAUCAGUACUGAAGCAGAAGAAAAGAAAGCAAUUCUUUCAUAUAAAGUGAAAUUGCUAGUGGGUUACUUAUCUGAGCAUCUAGUCCUGCCGUUUCUUAAAUGAUCCGAAGGCAAACAGCGCAGUUAGGAAGUGUGUUCCAGUAUAACUGCUUCUUUGUAAAAGCCUUUUAAAAGGUUUAAUAAACGCGAGGAGCCCAAACAGCAGCCACGAUGCACAUAUGAAGCCACGGAUCAUUAGUCUUUGUUUACUCUUUCUGUAGUCUUCCCCAGGAUUACGACUGUGUGUGAUGUUAAAAUUUAAAAUGUGGUGCGAUGCAUCAACUGUUAUGCUUGACACUUUGUUGCAAGACGGACGGGUUCAAACGGAAAUCCACAGGAGAGAGGCGACUGGUGCCAGCUCCACAAACACGAAAGUUGAAAGAAAUCUGGCAUCAUUUCCCACUUCGGGAAGGGAGUGCUCCCUUUCGCUGCAGAUUCUCCCAGUCGGUUUCUGAAUCGUUGUCCUGGUGUUGAUUCGCAACUGUGCCAGCCUGAAGCCCGAGCAGGGUUGGGGUGCAGACCUGCUGGAGAGGAGAACUGUGCCAAGGAAGUUAGCCUUGCCAGAUGCACAUGCCCCCAUCUAAGACGCUCACUCACGAGGAAGCCCAGCGGGAUUCCUUAAGAAUGCUCUCAGACGUUUGAACUGGAUAGGUUCAAAGGUAGGUCCAAGUGAUAGAAUUGUUCAGGCUGGUGCUGAAGUACUAAACAACCCCUUCAGCCAGAUGUGUCAUUAUGAUCAAAAGAUAGGGUUCAGGAUAGCCCUCAGUUCUUGGCAUUGAUGCUCUAUUGUAUUGUUUUCGUUCCAGGAGAGAGGGAUUCUUGCACUUAAACACCACAUCAGGUACUUAUCAGGCAAGGGGGGACAAAUCUUCUCCAUGCCAUACAUUUGUAAGGCAUUGUAUGUUGGCAAAAGGACUCUUUUCAGAUAAUUUUCUCGCUUCAAUGUCUUUGUAUUAGCUCCUAGCUUGUUAGGUGAAUGUAUUCAAGCAUUAUUGUUUAAUUACUGUCUUUGGGGAAACGAUUAAACUGAGAUUACUAUGUUCUAUUUUUCUGGAGGUUACCUGGUCUGUUUUUAUAAAUAAAAACAUUUGCGUAGCAUUAAACUUCUAAAAUCAGAUGAAAGUACACG
Molecule: long non-coding RNA, 1171 nt
Filed under: Lepisosteus oculatus (spotted gar)
Lineage: Eukaryota; Metazoa; Chordata; Actinopteri; Semionotiformes; Lepisosteidae
Description: lncRNA (ENSLOCG00000021432.1)
Source: RNAcentral